RNAcentral lists this unclassified non-coding RNA (337 nucleotides) under soil metagenome. RNAcentral's name for it is "partial contains 5.8S ribosomal RNA, internal transcribed spacer 2, and large subunit ribosomal RNA". The stretch from base 1 to 120 matches the Rfam family "5.8S ribosomal RNA", at positions 35 to 154 of the family's 154-position model. The record is from RNAcentral.
GAUGAAGAACGUAGCGAAAUGCGAUAAGUAGUGUGAAUUGCAGAAUUCAGUGAAUCAUCGAAUCUUUGAACGCACAUUGCGCCCCUUGGUAUUCCAUGGGGCAUGCCUGUUCGAGCGUCAUCUACACCCUCAAGCUCUGCUUGGUGUUGGGCGUCUGUCCCGCCUUUGCGCGUGGACUCGCCCCAAAUUCAUUGGCAGCGGUCCUUGCCUCCUCUCGCGCAGCACAUUUGCGCUUCUCGAGGUGCGCGGGCCGCGUCCACGAAGCAACUAUUACCGUCUUCGACCUCGGAUCAGGUAGGGAUACCCGCUGAACUUAAGCAUAUCAAUAAGCGGAGGA